UGACCUCGGAUCAGGUAGGGAUACCCGCUGAACUUAAGCAUAUCAAUAAGCGGAGGAAAAGAAACCAACAGGGAUUACCUCAGUAACGGCGAGUGAAGCGGUAACAGCUCAAAUUUGAAAUCUGGCCUCACGGUCCGAGUUGUAAUUUGUAGAGGAUGUUUCGAACGUGGUCCGGUCUAAGUUCCUUGGAACAGGACGUCAUAGAGGGUGAGAAUCCCGUAUGCGACUGGGUGCCUUAGUUCAUGUGAAACUCCUUCGACGAGUCGAGUUGUUUGGGAAUGCAGCUCAAAAUGGGUGGUAAAUUUCAUCUAAAGCUAAAUAUUGGCCAGAGACCGAUAGCGCACAAGUAGAGUGAUCGAAAGAUGAAAAGCACUUUGGAAAGAGAGUUAAACAGUACGUGAAAUUGUUGAAAGGGAAGCGCUUGCAAUCAGACUUGCACGCAGUUGAUCAUCCGGUGUUCUCACCGGUGCACUCGAUUGUGUUCAGGCCAGCAUCGGUUUCGGUGGUUGGAUAAAGGCCUUGGGAACGUAGCUCCUUUCGGGGAGUGUUAUAGCCCUCGGUGCAAUGCAGCCUACCGGGACCGAGGACGCGCUUCGGCUAGAUGCUGGCUAUG
This 613-nucleotide ribosomal RNA is filed under the name Ascomycota sp. Bear7. Its description in RNAcentral is "eukaryotic LSU rRNA". It matches the Rfam family "Eukaryotic large subunit ribosomal RNA", at positions 1 to 634 of the family's 3401-position model. Lineage: Eukaryota; Fungi; Ascomycota. The record is from RNAcentral.